UACGGGCGGCAGCAGUGGGGAAUAUUGGACAAUGGGCGAAAGCCUGAUCCAGCCAUGCCGCGUGUGUGAAGAAGGCCUUCGGGUUGUAAAGCACUUUCAGUGGGGAAGAAAGCCUUGGGGCUAAUACCCUCGAGGAAGGACAUCACCCACAGAAGAAGCACCGGCUAACUCCGUGCCAGCAGCCGCGGUAAUACGGAGGGUGCGAGCGUUAAUCGGAAUUACUGGGCGUAAAGCGCGCGUAGGCGGUCUGAUAAGCCGGUUGUGAAAGCCCCGGGCUCAACCUGGGAACGGCAUCCGGAACUGUCAGGCUAGAGUGCAGGAGAGGAAGGUAGAAUUCCCGGUGUAGCGGUGAAAUGCGUAGAGAUCGGGAGGAAUACCAGUGGCGAAGGCGGCCUUCUGGACUGACACUGACGCUGAGGUGCGAAAGCGUGGGUAGCAAACAGGAUUAGAUACCCGAGUAGUC
RNAcentral lists this ribosomal RNA (463 nucleotides) under Vreelandella stevensii. RNAcentral's name for it is "partial 16S ribosomal RNA". It matches the Rfam family "Bacterial small subunit ribosomal RNA", at positions 340 to 795 of the family's 1533-position model. Lineage: Bacteria; Pseudomonadati; Pseudomonadota; Gammaproteobacteria; Oceanospirillales; Halomonadaceae. The record is from RNAcentral.